UACAGAGGCCCCAAGCAUUACCCGGAAUCACUGGGCGUAAAGGGUGCGUAGGCGGUUGUGUUAGUCUUCCGUUAAAUCAUCGGGCUCAACCCGAUAAUCGCGGAGGAAACGGCACGACUCGAGGGUGCGAGAGGUGAAUGGAACUCUAGGUGUAGGGGUGAAAUCCGUUGAUAUCUAGGGGAACACCAAAAGCGAAGGCAAUUCACUGGCGCACAUCUGACGCUGAGGCACGAAAGCGUGGGUAGCGAACGGG
RNAcentral lists this unclassified non-coding RNA (253 nucleotides) under uncultured Parcubacteria group bacterium. RNAcentral describes it as "contains 16S-23S intergenic spacer region". It matches the Rfam family "Bacterial small subunit ribosomal RNA", at positions 524 to 776 of the family's 1533-position model. The record is from RNAcentral.